This 565-nucleotide ribosomal RNA is filed under the name uncultured bacterium. Its description in RNAcentral is "bacterial SSU rRNA". It matches the Rfam family "Bacterial small subunit ribosomal RNA", at positions 335 to 919 of the family's 1533-position model. The record is from RNAcentral.
AUUCCUACGGGAGGCAGCAGUCGGGAAUAUUGGACAAUGGAGGAAACUCUGAUCCAGCAAUGCCGCGUGUGUGAUGAAGGCCUUAGGGUUGUAAAGCACUUUCAACGGUGAAGAUGAUGACGGUAGCCGUAGAAGAAGCCCCGGCUAACUUCGUGCCAGCAGCCGCGGUAAUACGAAGGGGGCGAGCGUUGUUCGGAAUUAUUGGGCGCAAAGGGCGCGCAGGCGGUUUGGAUAGUUAGACGUGAAAGCCCUGGGCUUAACCUAGGAACUGCGUUUAAUACUGCCAAACUAGAGAACUAGAGAGGAUAGCGGAACUCCCAGUGUAGAGGUGAAAUUCGUAGAUAUUGGGAAGAACAUCAGUGGCGAAAGCGGCUGUCUGGCUAGUUUCUGACGCUGAGGCGCGAAAGCGUGGGGAGCAAACAGGAUUAGAUACCCUGGUAGUCCACGCCGUAAACGAUGUGUGCUAGAUGUUGGAAGGUUACCUUGCAGUGUCGCAGCUAACGCGUUAAGCACACCGCCUGGGAAGUACGGUCGCAAGAUUAAAACUCAAAUGAAUUGACGGAAU